AUUGAACGCUGGCGGAAUGCUUUACACAUGCAAGUCGAACGAUGAACCUUAGCUUGCUAAGGGGAUUAGUGGCGAACGGGUGAGUAAUGUAUCGGAACGCAUCCAAUAAUGGGGGAUAACAAGUCGAAAGAUUAGCUAAUACCGCAUACGUCCUACGGGAGAAAGCUAGGGACCUUCGGGCCUGGCGUUAAUGGAGCGGCCGAUAUCUGAUUAGCUAGUUGGUGGGGUAAAGGCUCACCAAGGCGACGAUCAGUAGCUGGUCUGAGAGGACGACCAGCCACACUGGAACUGAGACACGGUCCAGACUCCUACGGGAGGCAGCAGUGGGGAAUUUUGGACAAUGGGCGAAAGCCUGAUCCAGCCAUUCCGCGUGAGUGAAGAAGGCCUUCGGGUUGUAAAGCUCUUUCGCAAGGGAAGAAAACUUAAGCUCUAACAUAGCUUGAGGUUGACGGUACCUUGAUAAGAAGCACCGGCUAACUACGUGCCAGCAGCCGCCGUAA
Molecule: ribosomal RNA, 500 nt
Filed under: uncultured bacterium
Lineage: Bacteria
Description: partial 16S ribosomal RNA
Rfam family: Bacterial small subunit ribosomal RNA
Source: RNAcentral